RNAcentral lists this ribosomal RNA (498 nucleotides) under Staphylococcus aureus. RNAcentral describes it as "partial 23S ribosomal RNA". It matches the Rfam family "Bacterial large subunit ribosomal RNA", at positions 1790 to 2287 of the family's 2925-position model. The record is from RNAcentral. Lineage: Bacteria; Bacillati; Bacillota; Bacilli; Caryophanales; Staphylococcaceae.
GCCCAAGCGACUGUUUAUCAAAAACACAGGUCUCUGCUAAACCGUAAGGUGAUGUAUAGGGGCUGACGCCUGCCCGGUGCUGGAAGGUUAAGAGGAGUGGUUAGCUUCUGCGAAGCUACGAAUCGAAGCCCCAGUAAACGGCGGCCGUAACUAUAACGGUCCUAAGGUAGCGAAAUUCCUUGUCGGGUAAGUUCCGACCCGCACGAAAGGCGUAACGAUUUGGGCACUGUCUCAACGAGAGACUCGGUGAAAUCAUAGUACCUGUGAAGAUGCAGGUUACCCGCGACAGGACGGAAAGACCCCGUGGAGCUUUACUGUAGCCUGAUAUUGAAAUUCGGCACAGCUUGUACAGGAUAGGUAGGAGCCUUUGAAACGUGAGCGCUAGCUUACGUGGAGGCGCUGGUGGGAUACUACCCUAGCUGUGUUGGCUUUCUAACCCGCACCACUUAUCGUGGUGGGAGACAGUGUCAGGCGGGCAGUUUGACUGGGGCGGUCGCC